ACCCAGCUCAGUACGCUCUCAGUCGUUGCGGGGGAAGCAUCGUUCGAUCUCGCUCCUGUCGCGGUCCAAGUCUGCGAAACAGAGAGAGCGAGAGAGAGAGAGAGAGUCAGACCUUCGGGAAUUUUCCUCUUUUGGAGGGGAAAAAAAAGGAGAGAUUUUCCCCCCCUCUUUCUACCUUAUGUGAUGUCGGACGGUUAAAUGUUUUUUUCCAAAAAAUUAAGAGUAGAAAAGACUUGCAUAUGGUGUCUGUGUGUGAUUUUAUUUUAUUUUUUUAUCAUUUCUUAAAAUUUUGGAUGAUCAUUUUGAGGACUGGACUUCGACGCGAAUGCCUAUAAGCGGAUUCCAUUUUUAGAUCGAGGCGUUGAGAGGCUAAGAAGAGAGCAGUUUUCAUCUAGAAACCAAGACGAAAAAAAUAGAAAAAAUUAACUAGAAUCUACAAGGAUACUUAGAAAACAGAUAAGGAAACUAAGACUAGAAACCUGAAUUUAAAAUCUAGAAACCACAAAAAGCAGAAUUUUGAAUUUAGAAACCCCAAAAACGGGAAGACAAUAAAAAGAAAUUAAGAGACAGAAACUUAAAUCUAGAAACCACAAAAAAUUCUAGAAAAAACAGAACCUUGCAUCUAGAAACCAAAAUUUAUAAUAUACGAAAAAAAAAUAGAAACCGGAUACCUAAGCCAAGAACCUAGAGAGAGAGA
Molecule: long non-coding RNA, 697 nt
Organism: Penaeus monodon (black tiger shrimp)
Lineage: Eukaryota; Metazoa; Arthropoda; Malacostraca; Decapoda; Penaeidae
Exons: 2
Source: RefSeq, a predicted model, not a curated record